RNAcentral lists this long non-coding RNA (999 nucleotides) under Helianthus annuus (common sunflower). RNAcentral's name for it is "sRNA HanXRQr2_Chr03g0096981". The record is from RNAcentral. Lineage: Eukaryota; Viridiplantae; Streptophyta; Magnoliopsida; Asterales; Asteraceae.
UACAAACAUAAAAUAUACAUAGCUGAAAAGAUUCAGACUUAAAAUAGUAUUUACAAAAGCCCAAAAAAAACUUAUAGUUAGAAAUAACAGAGCUAACCAUGCUCUUGUGACCUGCAGUUUAUAUAUUGGAAUAGAAGUGGGUUAAAACAAUAGGUUUGUCAAUCUCCAUUAACCUCACAUACAUAUAUGCAUAUUAAAAAGGAUGUCAAAUUGCCCAACCCACUGUACAUCAAAUGUCAAUAGCAGUUCCUCAAGUUAUGUGUAGCAUGUCAUAAUAACAUAAGUAAUAUUUUAAAGCUUUUUUUCUAAAUUUCUUUGUUUUUUAUCUUUAACUAUAGAAGAUUGAAAAAGGGAAAAAGACAAUAGUCUAACUUCCAAUUGACAGAAGUGGAGUUGUUUGAAGUAAGAAUAAUUGCAAUCUUAGCCUUCACUACACAGACAAUCCAAGUGAUUAAAAAUUCAAAUAAAACCCUACAUCCAUUACACUCAACCUCUCGAAUCACUAUACCUAAAAAUCAUACAUACAUACUAACAAACAUAUACAUAUAAAGAUGAAGUUAGAUUUCGAUUUAAAUUUGAAUUUUCGUAUACAAGUAUUUUGGUGCUAUCUAAAAGUUUCAGCCCCAAAAAAUCAAUUUUAUUGUAUAUUUUGGUGCUAUUAACAACCUUAAGCCUCAAAAAAUCAAUUUUAUAGAGGUGCAUAACUUGUAAACAUUUAAUGGUGCUUUGUAAUCUAUUUUUUGGCGCUGUGUUUAUUUAAUAAUUAAUAAUGGGGUAAUGUUGUUAUUUGGUGCUUUAUAUUAUAAAACACCACAAAAAACAUGAAAUUUACACCACCAAAAUAAAAGCUUUUAGAAUUUGAAUGACAACUUACAUAUGUAGACAAAUGUUAGAGCUCUUGAUGUCACGGUUGUUGCUCCAUUUUUUGUUAUCAGAAUCAUUAUGAAGAUCCUCUGUUUUAUAAUGACGGGAUCAUCAUCAUCAGCUACAAAUUGAAUC